Molecule: ribosomal RNA, 305 nt
Filed under: uncultured bacterium
Lineage: Bacteria
Description: bacterial SSU rRNA
Rfam family: Bacterial small subunit ribosomal RNA
Source: RNAcentral
UGCCUACGGGGGGCAGCAGUGGGGAAUAUUGCACAAUGGGGGGAACCCUGAUGCAGCGACGCCGCGUGAGUGAAGAAGUAUUUUGGUAUGUAAAGCUGUAUCAGCAGGGAAGAUAAUGACGGUACCUGACUAAGAAGCCCCGGCUAACUACGUGCCAGCAGCCGCGGUAAUACGUAGGGGGCAAGCGUUAUCCGGAUUUACUGGGUGUAAAGGGUGCGUAGGUGGCAGGGCAAGUCAGAUGUGAAAGCCCGGGGCCCAACCCCGGUACUGCAUUUGAAACUGUCCGGCUGGAGUGCGGGAGAGGG